GGUCCGUUGGUCAAGGGGUUAAGACACCGCCUUUUCACGACGGUAACACGGGUUCGAAUCCCGUACGGACUA
Molecule: transfer RNA, 72 nt
Filed under: Streptococcus agalactiae
Lineage: Bacteria; Bacillati; Bacillota; Bacilli; Lactobacillales; Streptococcaceae
Also listed under: 4 other names
Description: tRNA-Glu
Rfam family: tRNA
About the family: Transfer RNA (tRNA) molecules are approximately 80 nucleotides in length. Their secondary structure includes four short double-helical elements and three loops (D, anti-codon, and T loops). Further hydrogen bonds mediate the characteristic L-shaped molecular structure. tRNAs have two regions of fundamental functional importance: the anti-codon, which is responsible for specific mRNA codon recognition, and the 3' end, to which the tRNAs corresponding amino acid is attached (by aminoacyl-tRNA synthetases). tRNAs cope with the degeneracy of the genetic code in two manners: having more than one tRNA (with a specific anti-codon) for a particular amino acid; and 'wobble' base-pairing, i.e. permitting non-standard base-pairing at the 3rd anti-codon position.
Source: RNAcentral